CGGAUCGCAGGCUGCAACCCGCCUGCGUGAAGUCGGAAUCGCUAGUAAUCGCGGAUCAGCAUGCCGCGGUGAAUACGUUCCCGGGCCUUAUACACACCGCCCGUCACACCAUGAGAGUCGGGAACACCCGAAGCCCGUAGCCUAANAGCAAUGAGGGCGCGGUCGAAGGUGGGUUCGAUAAUUGGGGUGAAGUCGUAACAAGGUAGC
Molecule: ribosomal RNA, 207 nt
Filed under: uncultured bacterium
Lineage: Bacteria
Description: partial 16S ribosomal RNA
Rfam family: Bacterial small subunit ribosomal RNA
Source: RNAcentral